Long non-coding RNA from Populus trichocarpa (black cottonwood), 818 nucleotides. RefSeq lists it as uncharacterized. NCBI's taxonomy places the organism in Eukaryota, Viridiplantae, Streptophyta, Magnoliopsida, Malpighiales, Salicaceae. The record is from RefSeq and is a predicted model, not a curated record. The transcript is spliced from 3 exons.
AAAGGAAUGAGAAUUUGAUGGGAAGAGGGGAAAGACGGGAGGUCAGUUCAGGAAUCAAGGGAUGGAUAAUGAGGAAGGGAAAGAGAUUGGAGAAAUGGGUGUUCGGGGAAAGGAUAAGGUGAAGGAGACAAGGAAAGUGAAAGGUUUGCUGGAAAGAAGGAAACUGAAUUGAGAAAUGAAGAGGUGAAGAGUAAGGAAAGGAAGGAGAAUGGUUAUGAAUUAGAAGGGGAUGGAGGCCUAUCCAAGAAUAGGCCGAGGAGAACUGAUAAGAAGGGUCUAUUGAGGGUUUUGGAUCCUCUUUUACCCUCUGCUCAUCUGUGUUGUCUACCAGGUCUGAUGUAGCGUCUUUGAUUUUGGAACCUGCUCAGGCUAUUUUUUGAGAGAGGUUUCGUGUGCAGGGCUAUGCUCUUUGCUUGGGCAGUGGAGGUUUUGGUCGUUUUUUUUCCUCCCUUGUUCAAGAAGGUGCAAAUCAUCUCUUUCUCUUAUUUGGGUAUAACAAUCAUAUUUGGACACGAGAGCUACUUUGUAACAAGCACAUGACAUUGUUAAACAAAGACCUGCUGCUAUCUGCCAAAAAAAAUUGUAAAGCUAGCAAAGAGACUGGCUCUGGCAGGAAAAGUUUUUGUAAAGGCCAUAUAGUUCUAUUGUUGGGCCAAUUUGCUUUUGUAAAGAUCAUGCUGGGUAUGGAUUUGACCUUUGAUUGUGGAUUUGCGAAGAUCCUCAUAUUACAUGAUGAAAUCAUUCAGUUUGUCUAUUAGUCUCUCAUGGAAAAUAUUCAUCAUUAUAAUUUUUUUCUUUACUUGAUUUUGUUAUGUUCA